GACGAACGCUGGCGGCGUGCUUAACACAUGCAAGUCGAACGGAAAGGCCCUGCUUUUGUGGGUUGCUCGAUUGCCGAACGGGUGAGUAACACGUGAGUAACCUGCCCUUGACUUUGGGAUAACUUCAGGAAACUGGGGCUAUUACCGGAUAGGAUCUCCUGCUGCAUGUUGGGGGUUGGAAAGUUUCGGCGGUUGGGGAUGGACUCGCGGCUUAUCAGCUUGUUUGUGGGGUAGUGGCUUACCAAGGCUUUGACGGGUAGCCGGCAUGAGAGGGUGAACGGCCACAUUGGGACUGAGAUACGGCCCAGACUCCUACGGGAGGCAGCAGGGGGGAAUAUUGCACAAUGGGCGGAAGCCUGAUGCAGCAACGCCGCGUGCGGGAUGACGGCCUUCGGGUUGUAAACAGAUUUCGACUGUGACGAAGCGUGAGUGACGGUAAUGGGUAAAGAAGCACCGGCUAACUACGUG
Molecule: ribosomal RNA, 468 nt
Filed under: uncultured bacterium
Lineage: Bacteria
Description: partial 16S ribosomal RNA
Rfam family: Bacterial small subunit ribosomal RNA
Source: RNAcentral